UGUCCAGUAGCACCUUAGAGGCCAACUAAGUUUGUUCUGGCUAUAAGCUUUCGUGUGCGUGCAAAAUUUAUACCCAAAACAAACUUAGUUUGUCUCUAAGGUGCUACUGGACA
Molecule: non-coding RNA, 113 nt
Organism: Podarcis lilfordi (Lilford's wall lizard)
Lineage: Eukaryota; Metazoa; Chordata; Lepidosauria; Squamata; Lacertidae
Source: the annotation of a GenBank genome assembly